Molecule: ribosomal RNA, 412 nt
Filed under: Rhizophagus fasciculatus
Lineage: Eukaryota; Fungi; Glomeromycota; Glomeromycetes; Glomerales; Glomeraceae
Description: partial large subunit ribosomal RNA
Source: RNAcentral
AGAGUAAAACAGUACGUGAAAUUGUUGAAAGGGAAACGAUUGAAGCCAGUCGUACCGGCGGGUAAUCAGCCUUUUGGGUGUGAUUAUGUGGAGCGUGAGGAGUUAAUCGCCCUCAUCUUUGCAUAUUCGUGCACUUUGGGUGUACUUGCUCGUGUGGUAGGUUAACAUCAAUUUUGAUCGUCAUAAAAUGAUUGGAGGAAUGUAGCUUCGAUCUCGUAUUGAAGUGUUAUAGCCUUCGGUAGAUGUGAUGAUUAGGAUUGAGGAUUGCAACGGAUACCCUUCUGGGCUACCUGUCUGAUCUCUGAAAGUUGCUCUGGUGCUGAAAGCUUGCUUAUGGUAUCAAAGUUGACGUUCAACAGGUUAGAACGGGAUAAAUUCGUUAAGGAUGUUGACGUAAUGGCUUUAAACGACC